Amphimedon queenslandica is the source of this 434-nucleotide long non-coding RNA. RefSeq lists it as uncharacterized. NCBI's taxonomy places the organism in Eukaryota, Metazoa, Porifera, Demospongiae, Haplosclerida, Niphatidae. The transcript is spliced from 2 exons. The record is from RefSeq and is a predicted model, not a curated record.
UAGUGGUCAAGACACACAGGACAGGUGAGCUGUUCCUCCAGUUUGAGUCUGAGAUCAGAAGAUGAUUUGGUUGCCAUUUCAAGAAAAGAAUAAAAUUGGAUACGUAAAGCAAGAACAAAAAUGAAGAGAGAUGAAGUGUAGAUAUUGCACCAAAUGAAGAUAGAGCAAGAAUGAAGGAUAAGGAAAUAAAGAAGUUGGAAUGAACAAGAAUGCAAAAUAAAGUAGAACAAUAAAAGACAGAGCAACAGGAAGACAGCUCUGAUGACCUCUUGGAAUAGAGCUGUCUUGUGAUUGAAGGAAGUUAUGAUAGCACAUUCCUUUAUUAUAACAACCAGUAUAUAGUAAAUGAAUGAAAAUGUAAAGCAAAAUAGCAACUGAAAUUCCUGUAUGGUGCAGUUUGCAAGCUAAUUGCAAAAGAUAUUUUUAUCUGCAAA